AGAUAAUGAGCUUGAAUAAGCAUAUAUUUUGAAAAUAUAAGAUAGAAUUAUAUUUUAUUAUCUU
This 64-nucleotide transfer RNA is filed under the name Cardiochiles fuscipennis. RNAcentral describes it as "tRNA-Ser". The record is from RNAcentral. Lineage: Eukaryota; Metazoa; Arthropoda; Insecta; Hymenoptera; Braconidae.